RNAcentral lists this non-coding RNA (213 nucleotides) under Butyrivibrio hungatei DSM 14810. The record is from RNAcentral. Lineage: Bacteria; Bacillati; Bacillota; Clostridia; Lachnospirales; Lachnospiraceae.
GAUAACUGAUAUUCCGAGUUGUGAAAUGAUAGGGUAACGCCUUGAAGCGCACCCCUAAUACUCCGAAUGGCAGAGAGUAUGCAACGACUCUCCCCAAAAGUGUUAUAGAGCUCGGUGAAGUCGGCAGAGAGUAGCCGUAAAUAUAGUUUUCAGACUAUGUACGAAAGCUGUCCAGAGGUGGAUGGUGCUACCUAUAUGCCGGGGGUCGGAUAU